This 690-nucleotide ribosomal RNA is filed under the name uncultured Synechococcus sp. RNAcentral describes it as "bacterial SSU rRNA". It matches the Rfam family "Bacterial small subunit ribosomal RNA", at positions 31 to 764 of the family's 1533-position model. The record is from RNAcentral. Lineage: Bacteria; Bacillati; Cyanobacteriota; Cyanophyceae; Synechococcales; Synechococcaceae.
GUACGCUGGCGGCGUGCUUAACACUGCAGGUUAACGAACUUCGGGUUAGUGGCGGACGGGUGGGUAACGCGUGAGAAUCUGCCUCAGGAGGGGGACAACAGCUGGAAACGGCUGCUAAUACCCCAUAUGCCGCGAGGUGAAAUGAAUUUCGCCUGAGGAUGAGCUCGCGUCUGAUUAGCUAGUUGGUGUAGGUAAUGGCUCACCAAGGCAUCGAUCAGUAGCUGGUCUGAGAGGAUGAUCAGCCACACUGGGACUGAGACACGGCCCAGACUCCUACGGGAGGCAGCAGUGGGGAAUUUUCCGCAAUGGGCGAAAGCCUGACGGAGCAACGCCGCGUGAGGGAUGAAGGCCUCUGGGCUGUAAACCUCUUUUAUCAAGGAAGAAGAUCUGACGGUACUUGAUGAAUAAGCCACGGCUAAUUCCGUGCCAGCAGCCGCGGUAAUACGGGAGUGGCAAGCGUUAUCCGGAAUUAUUGGGCGUAAAGCGUCCGCAGGCGGCCCUUCAAGUCUGCUGUUAAAAAGUGGAGCUUAACUCCACUCAUGGCAGUGGAAACUGUUUGGGCUUGAGUGUGGUAGGCGGCAGAGGGAAUUCCCGGUUGUAGCGGUGAAAAUGCGUAGAUAUCGGGAAGAACACCAGUGGCGAAGGCGCUCUGCUUGGGCCAUCACUGACCGCUCAUGGACGAAAAGCAGG